RNAcentral lists this ribosomal RNA (380 nucleotides) under Cordulia shurtleffii. RNAcentral describes it as "eukaryotic LSU rRNA". The record is from RNAcentral. Lineage: Eukaryota; Metazoa; Arthropoda; Insecta; Odonata; Corduliidae.
GAAGAGAGAGUUCAAGAAGUACGUGAAACCGUGUGGGAGUAAACGGGUGGUUCCCGAAAGUACGAAAGGGGAGAUUCAGGUCUCGCCNCGNGUCGGGCGGCGCCCGCGAACGAGAUGGGGUCCACGCGGCCGGGGGGCGACCCCCGGUCUCGCGGNGGNUNCACUCCGCGGGCGUCUUCUUUCCCGGCGCCGGAGCGACGCACUUCUCCCCCCUGUAGAACGUCGCGACCCGUCGGUCGCCGGCCUAAGGCCCCGGGAGGAGCCUCGCGCGCGUCCCUCGGGACGCGUUUGCGAGACCCCGGGGAUCCCGGCCGGGUGCCCGACGGAAGGAAGAGAGGAAGGAGUAGACGCGCCGACCUAUUGCUCGGCGUCCGGCCCUC